This 654-nucleotide ribosomal RNA is filed under the name uncultured bacterium. RNAcentral's name for it is "bacterial SSU rRNA". It matches the Rfam family "Bacterial small subunit ribosomal RNA", at positions 202 to 842 of the family's 1533-position model. The record is from RNAcentral.
GAAAGGCGCUUUCGGGUGUCGCUGAUGGAUGGACCCGCGGUGCAUUAGCUAGUUGGUGAGGUAACGGCUCACCAAGGCGACGAUGCAUAGCCGACCUGAGAGGGUGAUCGGCCACAUUGGGACUGAGACACGGCCCAAACUCCUACGGGAGGCAGCAGUAGGGAAUCUUCGGCAAUGGACGAAAGUCUGACCGAGCAACGCCGCGUGAGUGAAGAAGGUUUUCGGAUCGUAAAACUCUGUUGUUAGAGAAGAACAAGGAUGAGAGUAACUGUUCAUCCCUUGACGGUAUCUAACCAGAAAGCCACGGCUAACUACGUGCCAGCAGCCGCGGUAAUACGUAGGUGGCAAGCGUUGUCCGGAUUUAUUGGGCGUAAAGCGAGCGCAGGCGGUUUCUUAAGUCUGAUGUGAAAGCCCCCGGCUCAACCGGGGAGGGUCAUUGGAAACUGGGAGACUUGAGUGCAGAAGAGGAGAGUGGAAUUCCAUGUGUAGCGGUGAGAUGCGUAGAUAUAUGGAGGAACACCAGUGGCGAAGGCGGCUCUCUGGUCUGUAACUGACGCUGAGGCUCGAAAGCGUGGGGAGCAAACAGGAUUAGAUACCCUGGUAGUCCACGCCGUAAACGAUGAGUGCUAAGUGUUGGAGGGUUUCCGCCCUUCA